AUGUGGUGGCUGUGGGCGAAAUAUAAGUGGAGAUGAUACCUGACCAGCAGAAGGUUGAAAUGAUUGUUGCCCAGCAGAAGGAGCUCCAGCAGGGGAAGGUUGAGGUGUAGUAGGAAAUUGUGGAGCCGGGAAACGCUGGAAGGGUCCAACAGUAGAAGGUAUGUAUGAUGCCGGGGAAGCAGGUCUAAAGCCAGAGGUCUGUGGUCCACCUGCAGGCCCAGAUAGUGUCGAAGGUAUUGUAGUUUGAGGAAACGCUGAUGGGGUAGCUCUAAAACCAGGGGCCUCUGAACCAACCACAGGACCAGAUGAUGAAAAUGGUGACAUAGUUGGAGGAACAGCAGCAAAUGGUGUAGUGGAAGAUGCCAUAGGAAAAUUAGGUCGACCAGGGUUUUCAGUCCCCAUGGCUUCUACAAAACAACUUUGUCAAUGUCGUAUAUCUAUGCUUCCAUAACCUGAUCAGAGAUUAGGUAAGGAGCAAAACUUUGGGUGUCCGCGUAACAGAAUGGCUAGAAUGAAUGUAAAAAGGUAGAGAAUUGAUUAUCUCCUUCUAGCUUUGCAUCGAGAGGGCGGAGUUGGAACGAAAAGAAAAAGGCUAGAGAGAGAAAUUGCGAUUGAUUAACUCGGAAAUUGGGCUACAGAAACCCUAGAUCCAAUCAACGUAGAGACGAAGAAAAGUAGCAGAGAUUUUUGAGAGAGAAAGAGAG
RNAcentral lists this unclassified non-coding RNA (704 nucleotides) under Hevea brasiliensis (rubber tree). Lineage: Eukaryota; Viridiplantae; Streptophyta; Magnoliopsida; Malpighiales; Euphorbiaceae. The record is from RNAcentral.